RNAcentral lists this ribosomal RNA (260 nucleotides) under uncultured archaeon. RNAcentral's name for it is "partial 16S ribosomal RNA". It matches the Rfam family "Archaeal small subunit ribosomal RNA", at positions 748 to 1009 of the family's 1478-position model. The record is from RNAcentral.
CAGCCGUAAACUAUGCGCGUUAGGUGUAUCGGUGACCACGAGUCACCGAGGUGCCGAAGGGAAACCGUGAAACGUGCCGCCUGGGAAGUACGGUCGCAAGGCUGAAACUUAAAGGAAUUGGCGGGGAGCACCACAACGGGUGGAGCCUGCGGUUUAAUUGGACUCAACGCCGGGAAGCUCACCGGAUAAGACAGCGGAAUGAUUGCCGGGCUGAAGACUCUGCAUGACUAGCUGAGAGGAGGUGCAUGGCGUAGACGUCU